GAUCCUGGCUCAGGACGAACGCUCGCGGCGCGCCUAACACAUGCAAGUCGAACGAGCGAGAGAGAGCUUGCUUUCUCAAGCGAGUGGCGAACGGGUGAGUAACGCGUGAGGAACCUGCCUCAAAGAGGGGGACAACAGUUGGAAACGACUGCUAAUACCGCAUAAGCCCACGACCCGGCAUCGGGUAGAGGGAAAAGGAGCAAUCCGCUUUGAGAUGGCCUCGCGUCCGAUUAGCUAGUUGGUG
This 244-nucleotide ribosomal RNA is filed under the name uncultured bacterium. RNAcentral describes it as "partial 16S ribosomal RNA". It matches the Rfam family "Bacterial small subunit ribosomal RNA", at positions 15 to 254 of the family's 1533-position model. The record is from RNAcentral.